RNAcentral lists this small nuclear RNA (315 nucleotides) under Prolemur simus (greater bamboo lemur). RNAcentral's name for it is "7SK RNA (ENSPSMG00000024486.1)". It matches the Rfam family "7SK RNA". Rfam says of the family: 7SK was discovered as an abundant small nuclear RNA in the mid-70s but a possible function has only recently been suggested. Two independent studies have found that 7SK RNA binds the CDK9/cyclin T complex (known as elongation factor P-TEFb). Lineage: Eukaryota; Metazoa; Chordata; Mammalia; Primates; Lemuridae. The record is from Rfam by way of RNAcentral.
GGAUGUGAAGGCCACCUGGCUGUGGCAUCGAUCACCUCAUUGACUGUAAGGUUUGAUUCAGCUGGUUGGCUGCGUUGUGUUCCCUUCCUUCCCUGCACCCAUGUGCAUCCCUUCCCCCCGGAGCUGUGACAUCGGUCAAAGCAAACAACCAUUCCAAUGGAGGAGGUCUGUUCUUGUUCACGGGUAUGUGAGCAUGUGUGCUUCCCUGUCAGAGCACUAAUAAAAUUAACCCAUUAGGGCCAAACAAGCUCUCAGGAAGUAGUGAGGCAACGUGAUAAGCUGUGGGAUACGGUAAGAGGCUAUCUGCUCCUCCAC